UUGAAAGCCUAGAGGAAGGGCCGUGGAGCCACACCAGCGACAGCACGCCGGCUGACUUGGUGCCUGCAGGGCAGCCAGGAUUGUCCUGGCCCCGGGCGCUCUUCUGGAAGCUUUCCAUUUCCCUGCCUGAGGUACCCCUCCUGUCCCGGCCCCCACUGCUUUUUCCCUUUCUCACCUCUGCCCAGGGAGAAAUUCCAGCGGCAGGUAUGGGUGACACAUCCUCUUCUUUAGCAGGUGGCAGCCUGGCAACUCCUGUAGAAAGUCCAGGAGAGCCCCACUCACACCGGGCCACCCACAGAGCCGUAGCCCCUCACUCCCACCUACCAGCCCAGCCCUGACACUGCUGACGGGGCAGAGAAUAUGGCGUCAGCCACAGCUGCAGGUGGUGAGUGUGAUCCAGGAAAGCUGCCCUGGUGACGUGAGGCUGAACCUGCUUCAGAGUGACAAGCCUUCCGGAUGAUCCCAAAACAAGAUAGUGAGACGGAUCCUGUUAGAAGAAGGACGCUCAGGCUGACCCCCUCCCCACGCCCCCCAGGCCCCGCGAGCCAGGCCGAGGGCAGGGGCGAGAGGUGGGACUGAAGUUCCCCGGACCAGACGCUGGGGGCCGCUCUUUCUACACAGCAGCGGCGGGUGGCAGCGAACCCCUGCCCCUCGGAAGCUGGUCUUGCGCUGCCGCCCAAGCACCGGACCA
Molecule: long non-coding RNA, 691 nt
Organism: Orcinus orca (killer whale)
Lineage: Eukaryota; Metazoa; Chordata; Mammalia; Artiodactyla; Delphinidae
Exons: 3
Source: RefSeq, a predicted model, not a curated record